CUCUCUCUCUCUCUCUCUCUCUCUCUAGAUUCUCCCGUAUUGCAUUGGUAUAAGUUUUAAAAACAUUGCCAUAUAAGAUGCAUUAAAUUUUCAUUAAAUUGAAAUAAUUUUCUCCACAUGUGAAAUUAAAUUAUAGAAUUUCACUGAUAAUGGUUAGGAGCCAGCCAAGUGAACAAAGUAAAUUUAAGAUUCAAAAAAUCAUGAAAGCACAAUUUAGUGGGUUAAUGUGGUCUAGAUAGGAUUUUUCAUUCUAAAUUUUGUGAGGGCUAGAGGAGAUAAAUUUGGCAUUUUGAUUUGGUUCUAAAAGGCCAAUAACUUUUGCUGAAAUUUGUGUGUGUUGGGUUCACAAUUCACCAAAAUUCAACUGACCGAAGUUUGGAUCCACCGAUCGCUUGGACCCAUGAGUAAUGACUUUCACUCGGUUUGUUACAAUUUAUGAAAAUACACAUCAAUGGCAUGGAUCAUCCACCUCACUUCAAUCUAGAUAGUUCUAAGUCAAUUCGAAUCGGAGAACUUCAGUGUGUUAAAUCGACAAAAGGUUUUUUUAAAAAAACUGAUCAGUCAUCUGGAUCAGCCACCUUAAAAAUGGUGUCAAAUUGGUGGAUCGACGAUCUAGAUUGUAGAAUCAUCCACCUCACUUCAAUCUAGAUAGUUCUAAGUCAGUUUGAAUCGGAGAACUUCAGUGUGUUAGAUCGACAAAAGGUUUUUUUAUACUGAUCAGUCAUCUGGAUCAGCCACCUUAAAAAUGGUGUCAAAUUGGUGGAUCGACGAUCUAGAUUGUAGAAUCAGCCGGUUUCGACUUAAAGAAAUUUUUUUAAAAUACACUAUAAUUUAUCAAAAAUCUAGUUUUCUAAAAUAGUGGCACUUGCAUUAUGGUUUUUUAUUAUUGUAUAAAAAAUAUGUAAAUAACAUAUCUCAUGUUAAAUAUUUGUUGUUUAUUAAAUUUAUUUUAUAAUCAAAAUAAAAUUUAGAAUGCAACAUGACCAUAAAAUGAAUCUCUUUAACUCAAUUUAUUUAUUUUAUUAUUAUAUUAAUUUAAAAAUUUUGAUUUUUGAAAGAAGCUAUAUAGAACAAAUUUAAUGGAAUAGGUCGUUAAUAAAGAGAGAAAGAAUUUUAAUAGAAUUAUUUGUUUGUGGUACUUAGUAGAGAGACAGAGAGGAAAAGAUAGAACUUUAGUGGAAUUGAUUUUUGUAAAAUUAUUAAUAAACCAAACUUUGCAAAGAGAUGGUAAUUGAAAUUUAGUUUUGGAAGUACUAAUAAUGCAGCUAGUUGUUGAUAAACCUACUCUAAAACCCAAGGAGAGAGAGAUUUAAUUGAAAAAGCAUAGUCUUUGUUGUUUUAAAUACUCCAUAAUUACUGAACUAGGCUCCAACAAUAAUACGUUUACUCUUUUGUUUUGCUUAUAUUAGUAGAUGUCAAGAGAUUGUAUGUUAUAAAUUCAUUCAUUUCGUUGGGUAAAAAUUCCUAUUAAAGAAAGUUUUUAGGAUUCUAAACUUUGAGAAAGUAGCCGCAUCCACCCACAGUAGGUCAACUACAAAAUUAAAUAAAAUAGAAUAAAAUUUUAAAUUAUUUAUAUUUUUAUUUCUAAAUAAAUUAUGGACUAAGAUACCAUCUCAUUUUUGUAGAGACAAAUCAAAAUAAAUCAAAGUCCAUGUUUUUUUCUAAAAUUAUUCUGGUAUUUCAUAAGAUCUAAAAGGUAUGUACAGCGGGAACAAGUGUACAAUAUGCGCUUUAUAUUUACUAGUAUUUUAGAACGUGGAUCGAUAAGGCAAAUCGUUCACUCAUAGAUCUGCAUCGGAUCACUCGAUCAACAAACUAGAUCAGUUUUGGAUGAGUCCAAAUUGGUAAUUCAAAAAAUCCAAAAAAAUAAAUAUUAAAGUGGAGAUUUAUGGUGUUGGACUUUUAUUACGCCUAAAGAUACAUGAGACAAGUUUAACAAGUCAAAAAAGUAAGGGGUUUUUAGGGGGAACUGAUUUGGGACCUAUAUAAUCCCAUAACCAAUUCAAUCCUAAUCGACUCCCAUCUGAAUCGGCAAUCGAAGUAAAUAAUCAUGGGGUUUUAAACACUAGUAUAUAAAUGAAUAAGUUCAAAGCAUAAGCAGUUAAGGUGGAAUGUGUCACAACGUGAUGUCUUGAAUUCAUUCCUACUAUAAAUAAAAGAUCAUGUAUUAAUUUUUUUAAAAAAAUUUAAUAUAUAACAAUAAGAGCAAAGAUCCUAUGAAACUAUCCCACACCCAUGUGUGUAUAAAAUUAAAGUAAUUUAUAAAUCUUCUUGAGACACUAUAUAAGUGACACGUGUUGACUGAACCUAGGACCGUGAUUUGGAGUAAGUGGGACAUUUUAAUUGUUUGAGUUUAUAAAACCGCGGCCCUACAAAAUAGAUUCCUUUAAAUAAAAAAUCCUAAACUAUAAGAACUUUAGAAGCAUAUCCACCAAGUUAUCAUUAAGAAAAUGGCAUUAAGAAAAUGCCAAAAUCUGGCUACACUUUCCUAUUAUUUUAAGAGUGCAUAUUGUAGAGAGACAAGGCUAUAAAUAAUCAAAGUAAAGCAUACCUUUACAUAGUGUUGAGAAAU
This 2572-nucleotide long non-coding RNA is filed under the name Amborella trichopoda. Its description in RNAcentral is "long non-coding RNA (ATRI_LNC002377)". The record is from RNAcentral. Lineage: Eukaryota; Viridiplantae; Streptophyta; Magnoliopsida; Amborellales; Amborellaceae.